GGGCCCGUGGUCUAGCGGUUAUCUGCAAAGGCGAUCUUUGAAGAUUCUGCCGCUAACGCAGACCGCGAAUGACGCAUCCUUGACGUGGAUGAAGCCAGCGGUUCAAAUCCGCUCGGGCCCA
Molecule: transfer RNA, 121 nt
Filed under: Candidatus Aenigmatarchaeota archaeon
Lineage: Archaea; Nanobdellati; Candidatus Aenigmatarchaeota
Description: tRNA-Val
Rfam family: tRNA
About the family: Transfer RNA (tRNA) molecules are approximately 80 nucleotides in length. Their secondary structure includes four short double-helical elements and three loops (D, anti-codon, and T loops).
Source: RNAcentral